CCUCCUUCUGGAUUCCCGUUCCUGCUAUUGAGUUAGUGGGGACGUCACAGGGGGCUCAUCGUCGUCAGCAAUGCCGGCGGUGGGUCCCUGGGGCCCAGAUCGUUUACCGUGAAAAAAUUAGAGUGUUCAAAGCAGGCAGAUCCAAUUUUCUGCCACCGAAUACAUUAGCAUGGGAUAAUGGAAUAGGACCCUGUCCUCCUAUUUUCAGUUGGUUUUGGCAGCGCGAGGACUAGGGUAAUGAUUAAUAGGGAUAGUUGGGGGCAUUAAUAUUUAAUUGUCAGAGGUGAAAUUCUUGGAUUUAUGAAAGAUUAACUUCUGCGAAAGCAUCUGCCAAGGAUGUUUUCAUUAAUCAAGAACGAAAGUUAGGGGAUCGAAGACGAUCAGAUACCGUCGUAGUCUUAACCAUAAACGAUGCCGACCAGCGAUUAGGAGACGUUGAAUACAAAACACCACCAUCGGCGCGGUCGUCCUUGGCGUCUGGGUUUCGGCCGGGGCGCGGGGAUGGCUUAGCCCGGUGGCACCGGUGAAUGACUCCCCUAGCAGCUUGUGAGAAA
RNAcentral lists this ribosomal RNA (554 nucleotides) under Acanthamoeba sp. JPH24. Its description in RNAcentral is "SSU rRNA". It matches the Rfam family "Eukaryotic small subunit ribosomal RNA", at positions 692 to 1097 of the family's 1831-position model. Lineage: Eukaryota; Discosea; Longamoebia; Acanthamoebidae. The record is from RNAcentral.